RNAcentral lists this ribosomal RNA (2139 nucleotides) under Plasmodium falciparum 383.1. RNAcentral's name for it is "SSU rRNA". It matches the Rfam family "Eukaryotic small subunit ribosomal RNA". The record is from RNAcentral. Lineage: Eukaryota; Apicomplexa; Aconoidasida; Haemosporida; Plasmodiidae.
CCUGGUUGAUCUUGCCAGUAGUCAUAUGCUUGUCUCACAGAUUAAGCCAUGCAAGUGAAAGUACAUAUGUAAAUAAUAUAUUGAAACUGCGAACGGCUCAUUAAAACAGUUAUAAUCUACUUGAUGUUUUUAAUAUAAGGAUAACUACGGAAAAUCUGUAGCUAAUACUUGUGAAAAUACCUUUUGAUAUAUACAUAUGUAUGUAUCAUUAAGGUAUGUAUUUGUUAGAUAUAAGAAUAAAAUAAAUAUAAUUGAAUUAUAACAAAGAAGAAACACAUAAAAUAUGUGUAUUAUCAAUCGAGUAUCUGACCUAUCAGCUUUUGAUGUUAGGGUAUUGACCUAACAUGGCUAUGACGGGUAACGGGGAAUUAGAGUUCGAUUCCGGAGAGGGAGCCUGAGAAAUAGCUACCACAUCUAAGGAAGGCAGCAGGCGCGUAAAUUACCCAAUUCUAAAAAAGAGAGGUAGUGACAAGAAAUAACAAUACAAUAUCGAAAAAUGAUUUUGUAAUUGGAAUGAUAGGAAUUUACAAGGUUCCUAGAGAAACAAUUGGAGGGCAAGUCUGGUGCCAGCAGCCGCGGUAAUUCCAGCUCCAAUAGCAUAUAUUAAAAUUGUUGCAGUUAAAACGUUCGUAGUUGAAUAUUAAAGAAUCCGAUGUUUCAUUUAAACUGGUUUGGGAAAACCAAAUAUAUUAUAUAUUUUGCUUUGUUCAAAAUAAGGUUUUCUAAUAAAUUAUGUUUUUAUCAGAUAUGACAGAAUCUUUUUUAAAAUCUCUUCAAUAUGCUUUUAUUGCUUUUGAGAGGUUUUGUUACUUUGAGUAAAAUUAAGUGUUCAUAACAGACGGGUAGUCAUGAUUGAGUUCAUUGUGUUUGAAUACUACAGCAUGGAAUAACAAAUAUGAAUAAGCUAAUUAUUUUUUUUUUUCAUUAUUUUUUUUGAUAUUCUUAUUAGCUUAGUUACGAUUAAUAGGAGUAGCUUUGGGGGCAUUCGUAUUCAGAUGUCAGAGGUGAAAUUCUAAGAUUUUCUGGAGACGGACUACUGCGAAAGCAUUUGCCUAAUCUAUUUCCAUUAAUCAAGAACGAAAGUUAAGGGAGUGAAGACGAUCAGAUACCGUCGUAAUCUUAACCAUAAACUAUACCGACUAGGUGUUGGAUGAAUAUAAAAAAUAUAUAAAUAUGUAGCAUUUCUUAGGGAAUGUUGAUUUUAUAUUAGAAUUGCUUCCUUCAGUACCUUAUGAGAAAUCAAAGUCUUUGGGUUCUGGGGCGAGUAUUCGCGCAAGCGAGAAAGUUAAAAGAAUUGACGGAAGGGCACCACCAGGCGUGGAGCUUGCGGCUUAAUUUGACUCAACACGGGAAAAACUCACUAGUUUAAGACAAGAGUAGGAUUGACAGAUUAAUAGCUCUUUCUUGAUUUCUUGGAUGGUGAUGCAUGGCCGUUUUUAGUUCGUGAAUAUGAUUUGUCUGGUUAAUUCCGAUAACGAACGAGAUCUUAACCUGCUAAUUAGCGGUAAGUACACUAUAUUUUUAUUUGAAAUUGAAUAUAGGUAAUUAUACAUGUUUAUUCAGUGUUCAAAUUAGGAUAUUUUUUUAUUAAAAUAUUCUUUUCCCUGUUCUACUAUAAUAAUUUGUUUUUUUACUCUAUUUCUCUCUUCUUUUAAGAAUGUACUUGUUUGAUUAAAUAAAGCUUCUUAGAGGAACAGUGUGUAUCUAACACAAGGAAGUUUAAGGCAACAACAGGUCUGUGAUGUCCUUAGAUAAACUAGGCUGCACGCGUGCUACAAUGAUAUAUAUAACAAGUUGUUAAAAAUGUACUUAUAAAUAAGUGUGUACAGUUUUUCCUGUACUGAAAAGUAUAGGUAAUCUUUAUCAGUAUAUAUCGUAAUUGGGAUAGAUUAUUGCAAUUAUUAAUCUUGAACGAGGAAUGCCUAGUAAGCAUGAUUCAUUAGAUUGUGCUGACUACGUCCCUGCCCUUUGUACACACCGCCCGUCGCUCCUACCGAUUGAAAGAUAUGAUGAAUUGUUUGGAUAUGAAUUAAAAUAAUGAAAUUUUAUAUUUCUGAUUUUUUCUAGAAGAACUGUAAAUCCUAUCUUUUAAAGGAAGGAGAAGUCGUAACAAGGUUUCCGUAGGUGAACCUGCGGAAG